CUGAACUACAAGGUCCGCGGUGCAGGGAAGCCGGUGUGAAUCCGGCAUGGUCCCGCCACUGUGACCGGGGAGUGCGCUGUCGUGCACCACGCCACUGGCGAAAGCCGGGAAGGCGGGCAGCGUGUGUCGAUCCGGAAGUCAGGAUACCGGCCGCGGGUAUAUCCGUGUU
RNAcentral lists this non-coding RNA (169 nucleotides) under Embleya scabrispora. The record is from RNAcentral. Lineage: Bacteria; Bacillati; Actinomycetota; Actinomycetes; Kitasatosporales; Streptomycetaceae.